CAUAUCUGUACCGAGGACUGCUUACUGCCCUCUGCUGUCCAUUGUAUAUUUAGCACUUUGCCUCUGAUUGUGGUCUCCGGUUAGAUGAGCAGUGGCUCUGUGAUAUCUCGUAUUGAAAACCACCCUAUGGAAUAGACUUGCUUGCAUUGUACCAGGCCUAAGAGAAGUCACUCUGCAAAAGGCCAUUGAAGCCAUUUGUAAAACCAUCACAUGCGUGUGUGUGAAUAUAUAUAUAAAUAAAUAUACAUUGUGCAUACAUUACACACAUAGACAAGGCAAUGUAGGACUCUGGAAAACCAUAUACAUGUAUUGGGGGUUAUGCUUCACUAAGUCUCUGCAUCACUUU
Molecule: non-coding RNA, 346 nt
Organism: Pelobates cultripes (western spadefoot toad)
Lineage: Eukaryota; Metazoa; Chordata; Amphibia; Anura; Pelobatidae
Source: the annotation of a GenBank genome assembly